RNAcentral lists this ribosomal RNA (451 nucleotides) under uncultured bacterium. RNAcentral's name for it is "bacterial SSU rRNA". It matches the Rfam family "Bacterial small subunit ribosomal RNA", at positions 330 to 795 of the family's 1533-position model. The record is from RNAcentral.
UCCAGACUCCUACGGGAGGCAGCAGUGGGGGAUAUUGGACAAUGGGGGAAACCCUGAUCCAGCGACGCCGCGUGAGUGAAGAAGUAUUUCGGUAUGUAAAGCUCUGUCAGCAGGGAAGAAAGAAAUGACGGUACCUGACCAAGAAGCCCCGGCUAACUACGUGCCAGCAGCCGCGGUAAUACGUAGGGGGCAAGCGUUAUCCGGAUUUACUGGGUGUAAAGGGAGCGUAGGUGGCAGGGCAAGUCAGAUGUGAAAAACCGGGGCUCAACCCCGGGAGUGCAUUUGAAACUGUCCAGCUGGAGUGCAGGAGAGGUAAGCGGAAUUCCUAGUGUAGCGGUGAAAUGCAUAGAUAUUAGGAAGAACACCAGUGGCGAAGGCGGCUUGCUGGACAGUAACUGACGGUGAGGCUCGAAAGCGUGGGGAGCAAACAGGAUUAGAUACCCGCUUAAAC